Molecule: long non-coding RNA, 837 nt
Filed under: Oncorhynchus kisutch (coho salmon)
Lineage: Eukaryota; Metazoa; Chordata; Actinopteri; Salmoniformes; Salmonidae
Description: lncRNA (ENSOKIG00005043745.1)
Source: RNAcentral
GGAGUUUCAGUGAUGAAGAUGCCAAGGCACAUUGUAAGAGCUAUAAAGAGAGAGGGAGUGGGAGAGAGAACAGGCAGAACCUGAUAUGUAAAUGAGUAGAGGAAACAAAAGCAACUUUCAACGACCGAAUGAUCAUUUCAGACUCUGGUUCUAUUGAGAGAGAGAUAAAAGGCUGGUUGAAUGAGUUGCCUAUGAAAGCUACUUCAUCUGCAAUAAAACAGACGGCUGCACCAGUGACUGGGUUAGUUCACCAAAAUGAGUCUCUCUGGGGAGAGAGAAGGGGGACCUGCCUCUAAAAUGAGUCUCUCUGAGGAGAGAGAGGAAGGACCUGCCUCUAAAAUGAGUCUCUCUGGGGAACAUGACACCAAAUCUAAGUGGUGAGAUGACACUUUUUGAUAUUAUUAUUAUGAGUGUAACGGCUGAUUUCUUCCUCUUCCUCUGAAGAGGUGUAGCAAGGAUCGGACCAAGAUGCGGCGUCGUAAGUGUCCAUGUUUAAAUAAGAAAAACUCAACAUGAACACAAAAAUAAUAAAUGUGAACAAACCGAAACAGUCACGUGUAGCACAAACACUGACACAGGAAACAAUCACCCACAAACCAACAGUGAAAAACAGGCUACCAAUGUAUGAUUCUCAAUCAGAGACAACUAACUGCCUCUGAUCGAGAACCAUACUAGGCCGAACACAGAAAUAGAAAGACAUAGAAACACAAAACAUAGACUGCCCACCUCAACUCACGCUCCGACCAUACUAAAAUAAAGACAAAACAAAGGAAAUAAAGGUCAGAACGUGACAAUGAGUUUAUUUCCAAAAUGUAUCACCGUUGUUUUUUAAUCAGA